Molecule: ribosomal RNA, 470 nt
Filed under: uncultured Pseudomonadota bacterium
Lineage: Bacteria; Pseudomonadati; Pseudomonadota
Description: bacterial SSU rRNA
Rfam family: Bacterial small subunit ribosomal RNA
Source: RNAcentral
AGAUGGGAUUAGCUAGUAGGUGGGGUAACGGCUCACCUAGGCGACGAUCCCUAGCUGGUCUGAGAGGAUGACCAGCCACACUGGAACUGAGACACGGUCCAGACUCCUACGGGAGGCAGCAGUGGGGAAUAUUGCACAAUGGGCGCAAGCCUGAUGCAGCCAUGCCGCGUGUAUGAAGAAGGCCUUCGGGUUGUAAAGUACUUUCAGCGGGGAGGAAGGGAGUAAAGUUAAUACCUUUGCUCAUUGACGUUACCCGCAGAAGAAGCACCGGCUAACUCCGUGCCAGCAGCCGCGGUAAUACGGAGGGUGCAAGCGUUAAUCGGAAUUACUGGGCGUAAAGCGCACGCAGGCGGUUUGUUAAGUCAGAUGUGAAAUCCCCGGGCUCAACCUGGGAACUGCAUCUGAUACUGGCAAGCUUGAGUCUCGUAGAGGGGGGUAGAAUUCCAGGUGUAGCGGUGAAAUGCGUAGAG